GGGGGUAUAGCUCAGCUGGCUAGAGCGCUUGCAUGGCAUGCAAGAGGUCGUCGGUUCGACUCCGAUAACCUCCA
Molecule: transfer RNA, 74 nt
Filed under: Candidatus Vicinibacter affinis
Lineage: Bacteria; Pseudomonadati; Bacteroidota; Saprospiria; Saprospirales; Saprospiraceae
Description: tRNA-Ala
Rfam family: tRNA
About the family: Transfer RNA (tRNA) molecules are approximately 80 nucleotides in length. Their secondary structure includes four short double-helical elements and three loops (D, anti-codon, and T loops). Further hydrogen bonds mediate the characteristic L-shaped molecular structure. tRNAs have two regions of fundamental functional importance: the anti-codon, which is responsible for specific mRNA codon recognition, and the 3' end, to which the tRNAs corresponding amino acid is attached (by aminoacyl-tRNA synthetases). tRNAs cope with the degeneracy of the genetic code in two manners: having more than one tRNA (with a specific anti-codon) for a particular amino acid; and 'wobble' base-pairing, i.e. permitting non-standard base-pairing at the 3rd anti-codon position.
Source: RNAcentral